Panicum virgatum (switchgrass) is the source of this 1356-nucleotide long non-coding RNA. RefSeq lists it as uncharacterized. The transcript has 5 exons. NCBI's taxonomy places the organism in Eukaryota, Viridiplantae, Streptophyta, Magnoliopsida, Poales, Poaceae. The record is from RefSeq and is a predicted model, not a curated record.
CGCCCCAGGGCCGUGCAGGCGCCCGGCUUCGGUUCCCCGCCGCACCGGUUCCUUUUCCGCGUACCCCCACCACCCCGAAGCGGUUUCUUCUCCUCCCAGCUCGCGAUCCCUUCCCCCAGCCAGCCCCGGCCCAGAUACGUUUUCCGACGCCGCUCCUCUCAUCGUCGGGGACUGGCGCCGCCCAACCCCAGCUGAUGCUCCUCCCGUCGCCGAUCUGGAGUCUGGCGCCUCCCGUCAUUGCUGAUCCGUUCCCGACGCCGCAUCUCAUCCCGACGCAGCACCUCCUCCCGUCGCCGCUCCCCUCCUCCGACGGUCAUGGAGGAAUUGAUGGCACGACGUGGAUGAAUCGCCUGCGUAUCCCCGCAUUCAAGGUGACGCCCUCCCGUUCCCGAUGCCGCUCACUCCUCCCGUCGCUGUCGAUCCUCCUCCAGCCUGCUCUCUGAUCAGUGCAAGAUUGGUCCACAGAUGCAUAUCAACCUGAGCAGGGUGGUGUUCGAGCAGCUUCCGAUUUGGUUGUCAAUCGGAUUGGCGACGACGGUCACCAGGGAUCCAAUCUCCUCCGCUAUAGCUUGGGGUUCCUUCCCUGGAGCGACAGUUUAUCUCCGUCGCUUGUGGAGAGUCUGAGGACACAAGGAGCAUAUUCCGUUGGGUCUCCUCUCCAAGACUUCAGAUGCUCCUGGUGCUCCUUGAAAAGCUCGGCUUAAGGCAUGAGAGGUGAGCUCUUACCUAUUGCUGCUUGAUCACUUUAUGAGUUCUUGUGUUUCCUUAGACAGAGGCAUGCUUAACCUGUUUAACUGAUUUACACUUUUGGUAGUAGUUUUAUAUUAAGUAAUUAUUUUCCCUGUUUAAAAAUUGAAUAAUAACUGUUUUUUUUUGUUCUUUUGUGUGGCUAGUGAAGGAGUUUUUUAGCUUAGGUCUGUCACUGUAUUCUAAAUCUACUUCAUAGGGGCAUCUCCAGUGUUCAAAUCGAACUCAACUGAAAAGGUAGUGCCACGGAGGAUUUGUUCGAUUUCUACUGAAUCAAACAUAAUCACAGUAACGCGUUAGGGAUCCAUCAUAUAAUAAAAUACACCAUUUCUAUCUCACCAUCCUCAAGCUGUAAUCUUGAUGAGCACAUUGUACUAGCGCACUACUUUUUGCCCAUUAUUUAACUACCUCGGUUCGACUUGCCUUUAGCAUUUGAUGCAAGUAAUCUUUUGAUUCCGUUUGACCACUGCAGUGUCUAAAUCGAAUCAAAGUUCUGCUCUGUCCUGUCACGGUUCGAUUUCCAUGCACACUGGAGGUGCCCUAAUUCAUGCUUUGUAUGUCUUAUAUGGAGAAAGAAUAUGCAGAAAUGAAGCUCUUCCUUUGUGCUGA